UCAUUGUAAUAUCCCUCGCUUUUAAAAAUUAUUAAUAAAGAUUUAUAUGUAAAUUGGAGGACCUAUAUGUAAAUAUAGAAAUUACAAGGACUAAACUGCUAAGUUGCAAAAAAAAAAGAAAAAAAAAAGGGAAAACCGAAAAUUCGGUAUUAUCCCACCGCCUCCCACGCACUCUCUGUUUCUUCGAGAAACAGAGAGGAGCGGUGGGGCAUGAGGAGUGAAGAAAAGAAGAAGAAGAGGGAAAAGAAGAGAGGAGGAAGAAGAGAGGAAGAAGAGGGAGAAGAGAAGAAGAAGAAGAAGAGGAGGUGGCUGCAGCGAGGGCUGCAGCGAGGAGCUGUGGGGCGUGGGGAGAAGAAGAGAGGAAGAAGAGGGAGAAGAGAAGAAGAAGAAGAAGAAGAAGAAGAAGAAGAGAGGAGGAUAGCUGCGGCAAGGCUGCAGCGAGGAGGUGUGUGGCUUUGGGGAGGAAAAGGGUAGAGGAGAAGAAGAGAAGGAGAAGAAGAGGGAAAAGAGAGGCAGCUGCAGCAGCCAGGGCUGCAGCACCUCUGUUUCCCGCAGGUGGAAACAGAGGAGAGGAUGUGUGGGGCGUUGAGGAUGAAAAGGGAAGAAGAAGAAGAAGAAGAAGAAGAAGAAGAAGAAGAAGAAGAAGAAGAAGAUAGCUGCAGCAAGGCUGCAGCGAGGAGAUGUGUGGCCUUGGGGAGGAAAAGGGAAGAGGGGAAGAGGAGAAGAAGAAGAAGAGGAAGAGAAAGAGGUGUGAUACCUCUGUUUCCUGCAGAGGAAACAGAGGAGAGGGUGUGUGUGACGCCGGGGAAGAAGGGGCUGCAGCUGCGGCGAUGGCAGCUGCAGCUGGAAGAGAAGAAGAAGAGGAAGAUGAGCAGGGGAGGAGGGAGAGGUUGCGGCCGUGGCUGCGGCCGCGACUGCAGCAGUUGCAGCGGGGAGAGAAGAAGAAGAAAGGAAGGAGAAGGAAGAGGAGAAGGGAAAGAAGUAGCUGCGGCUGCGGUUGUGGCAGCUGCAGCUAUGGCAGGGAAAGAGGAAGAGAAAAAGGAAAGGAAGAAGAGAGAAAGGGAAGGAGAGGAAGAAGAGAGGAAGAGGAGAAGGGGCUGCGGCUGCGGCGAUGGCAGCUGCAGCUGUGGCAGGGAAAGAGAAAAAGGAAAGGAAGAAGAAGAGAAAGGGAAGGAGAGGAAGAAGAGAGGAAGAGGAGAAGGGGCUGCGGCUGCGGUGAUGGCAGCUGCAGCUGUGGCUGGGAAAGAAGAGAAGGAAAGGAAGAAGAAGAGAAAGGGAAGGAGAGGAAGAAGAGAGGAAGAGGAGAAGGGGUGGCAGCUGCGGCAGUGGCAGCUGCAGUUGGAAGAGAAGUAGGAGAGGAAAUAGAGCAGGGGAGGAAGAAGAGGCUGCGAGUGUGGUGGCUGCGGCCGUGGCUGCGACUCCGGCUGCGGCUGCAACGUUGGCUGCGGUAGCUGCGGCAGCGGUGGUGGCUGCAGUAGCUGCUUUUGGGAAAGAGAAAGAGUAGGAACGAGAGAAGGGAAGAAGGAAAUAGUGCAGUGGAAGGGGGCUGCGGUUGUGACCGCAGUUGCGGUCGUGGCUGCGAUUGUGGCAGCGGCAGCGGCGGCGGCUGUGGCAGCUGCGUUUGGGAAAGAAAAAGAAGGAAUGAGAGUAAGAGAGAGCAGGUGACUGUGCCUCGAUGUUCGACACGUGGUGUAGUUGCGAAGAAAGGAAGAAAACGGGAGCACAAAACGAAACAGAGAGAGGACACGGAGGAAAAGUAGAAGGAUUUGAGCUGGCACCUUCUUUGGAUCUUCGGAUCGAAAUCAUUGAAAGGUCAGCUUGUCACUCUUCGAGAUGUUGGAUUUGGGCUGAGGCAGUGGAUAGCUAUUCAGAAUAAUGGGCAAGUCUGGUUGGUUAUUACGAUAUUGUUGUAUAAGUAUGUCUUGUAUGUAAUGAAAUGUUGUCGAUGAACCGAAAUGGAUAUACUGUGUCAAAGUGUUAGGAGAUCUCUCUUAUUUGGAAUUUCGAAAUGUUAAGCCUACUUUAUGAUGAUAUGAACUUGUGGUGAAUAGUUGGAGUUCUGAUUGUAUAAUUUAUUUAGCUUGUGGAUUUAUAAGUGUUGUUCAUGUUUGUCAAGUUGGCUUGGGUUGCCAUAAAUGUGAAUUAUCGAGUGAUGUGAUAUAUGAUUAUAAACUGCACAGGUUUUAUGGAUGUGAAUAUGAAUAGAAUGUUUUCAGUGUCCUCAAACGUUAGUUUGGAUCCUGGAUUGGUCUGUGACGAAAAUUUUAAAAAUCAUGGAUAUUUUGAGGGGCGUGACAGAGGUGGUAUCAGAGCAUUGUUUGAGGAUUACUGAAAUAUUUGAUAUGUUGACGUGCAAAAUAUAUUGAGGUCUAAUGAACUAUAGUGAUUGGUGGAAAUUUUCUUUGAUGUAUUUUAGGAAUCUGGGAUGAUGAGGACAUUUGGUCCUCCUAUUUCAUUGUUUCUGAUUAAUUAAGGGGUAAUCGGGGAUAUUGAAUCAGAGUGGCGCAGCGGAAGCAUGGUGGACCUAAUUUCAUUGGUGGUAGAAAAAUGAAUGAUGCAAACAGAGAAGAUAUUUGAUGUACAAAAUUGUUUUGAUGAUCAAAAGAUUUCUUUUGCCACCUUAUAUUGGAAGUAGAGGCUGAUUAUUAUUGGCAACAAUGAAAAGAAUUUUUGGAGAUCAGUGACAAGAAUGAUAAGGACAAGUUUACCAAUAAGAAUAUGAUUGGAAAUGAAUCAGUAAGUAAUGUCAGGAGGGUCAAGACAUUUGGAUUUGAAAAAGGAAGUCACCACAAAAGACUCAAUCACGUGUGAAUUGUAAGUUAAAUUAUGAAACAAGUUUGUGUUUUCGGGUGAUUGGAGUCUAUUUUGCUUGUAGAAAGUUGGAUCAUAAAAUAAAAGUUUGCCCUUUGAACAAGAAGAAAGAGUCACUGCCUCCUAAAUUAUCAGCCCAUGUAAGAGUGUAUGCUAUCACUAAAUAUGAUUCUGAAACUUCUGAAUUAGUGGUCAAAGGUAUUAUGCAUGUUUAUGAAAGAAUGCAAAUAUUUGUUUGACCAUGGGUCCCAUCUAUGAUUUGAUUCGUAAUAUUCUGCCUAUCACUUGGGUAUUCAACCUAGACCACUACAUUAUGUGCUAUAAGUAAAUACGAUCAUUGGAGAUUCUUUGAUAACGAAGUUGAAUCUGGUCCUCUUGUCUGAUUCUUAUUGGAGAACUUGAACUUUUGCUGAUUUAGUUCUCCUAGAGAUUUGGAGUUUUGAUAUUAUACUUGGUAUGGAUUGGCUAUCUUCCUAACAUACCAGUAUGGAUUGGUAUAUAACAAAUGAUCACUUUUUGCAUAUUUGAUCAGCCGAUCUUUUAUUUUGAGAGUAUUGGACAUUAUUUAUCUCCUUGCCUAAUGUAUCCCAGGAUGACUUGUUUGGAUUACCUCCAAAUGUGAUUUUGCUUUUGAUUUGGUCCUUGGGACAAUCCUAAAAUCUAAGCCUCUCUACAGAAAGAUAUCAUUUGAGUAAGUGGAAUUAGAAAAGCAACUACAAGGAUUAUUAAAUGAGGAUUUUAUUUGGCUUAAUAUUUCAUCAUGGGGUGCUCCGGUGUUAGUUAAAAGAUGGAUGGAACAUUGAGGCUUUGUAUUGAUUAUAGAUAGUUGAAUUAGGUGACCAUCAAAAAACGAGUAUUUUCUGAAGUAACGACUUGCUCGAUUAAUUACAGGGUACGCAAGUAUUUUUAGAAAUUGAUUGAAGGUCGGGUUACCGUCUAUUGAGGAUCAAGGAGGAGAAUAUUUCGGUCACUCGUGGAUAAUUAUGUAAUUGUAUUGUAUUGAUGAAACUAUUUAAGAGUAGGAGGAGGAAAUAAAGAUAUCAUAAUCCUCAUCUUUUCAUCGAUUGAGCUAUGAUCAAUUUAGAGGACUAAAUUUUCUUUUAAGGGGGGGAGAGUGUAAUAUCCCUCGCUUUUAAAAAUUAUUAAUAAAGAUUUAUAUGUAAAUUGGAGGACCUAUAUGUAAAUAUAGAAAUUACAAGGACUAAACUGCUAAGUUGCAAAAAAAAAAGAAAAAAAAAAGGGAAAACCGAAAAUUCGGUAUUAUCCCACCGCCUCCCACGCACUCUCUGUUUCUUCGAGAAACAGAGAGGAGCGGUGGGGCAUGAGGAGUGAAGAAAAGAAGAAGAAGAGGGAAAAGAAGAGAGGAGGAAGAAGAGAGGAAGAAGAGGGAGAAGAGAAGAAGAAGAAGAAGAGGAGGUGGCUGCAGCGAGGGCUGCAGCGAGGAGCUGUGGGGCGUGGGGAGAAGAAGAGAGGAAGAAGAGGGAGAAGAGAAGAAGAAGAAGAAGAAGAAGAAGAAGAAGAAGAGAGGAGGAUAGCUGCGGCAAGGCUGCAGCGAGGAGGUGUGUGGCUUUGGGGAGGAAAAGGGUAGAGGAGAAGAAGAGAAGGAGAAGAAGAGGGAAAAGAGAGGCAGCUGCAGCAGCCAGGGCUGCAGCACCUCUGUUUCCCGCAGGUGGAAACAGAGGAGAGGAUGUGUGGGGCGUUGAGGAUGAAAAGGGAAGAAGAAGAAGAAGAAGAAGAAGAAGAAGAAGAAGAAGAAGAAGAAGAAGAUAGCUGCAGCAAGGCUGCAGCGAGGAGAUGUGUGGCCUUGGGGAGGAAAAGGGAAGAGGGGAAGAGGAGAAGAAGAAGAAGAGGAAGAGAAAGAGGUGUGAUACCUCUGUUUCCUGCAGAGGAAACAGAGGAGAGGGUGUGUGUGACGCCGGGGAAGAAGGGGCUGCAGCUGCGGCGAUGGCAGCUGCAGCUGGAAGAGAAGAAGAAGAGGAAGAUGAGCAGGGGAGGAGGGAGAGGUUGCGGCCGUGGCUGCGGCCGCGACUGCAGCAGUUGCAGCGGGGAGAGAAGAAGAAGAAAGGAAGGAGAAGGAAGAGGAGAAGGGAAAGAAGUAGCUGCGGCUGCGGUUGUGGCAGCUGCAGCUAUGGCAGGGAAAGAGGAAGAGAAAAAGGAAAGGAAGAAGAGAGAAAGGGAAGGAGAGGAAGAAGAGAGGAAGAGGAGAAGGGGCUGCGGCUGCGGCGAUGGCAGCUGCAGCUGUGGCAGGGAAAGAGAAAAAGGAAAGGAAGAAGAAGAGAAAGGGAAGGAGAGGAAGAAGAGAGGAAGAGGAGAAGGGGCUGCGGCUGCGGUGAUGGCAGCUGCAGCUGUGGCUGGGAAAGAAGAGAAGGAAAGGAAGAAGAAGAGAAAGGGAAGGAGAGGAAGAAGAGAGGAAGAGGAGAAGGGGUGGCAGCUGCGGCAGUGGCAGCUGCAGUUGGAAGAGAAGUAGGAGAGGAAAUAGAGCAGGGGAGGAAGAAGAGGCUGCGAGUGUGGUGGCUGCGGCCGUGGCUGCGACUCCGGCUGCGGCUGCAACGUUGGCUGCGGUAGCUGCGGCAGCGGUGGUGGCUGCAGUAGCUGCUUUUGGGAAAGAGAAAGAGUAGGAACGAGAGAAGGGAAGAAGGAAAUAGUGCAGUGGAAGGGGGCUGCGGUUGUGACCGCAGUUGCGGUCGUGGCUGCGAUUGUGGCAGCGGCAGCGGCGGCGGCUGUGGCAGCUGCGUUUGGGAAAGAAAAAGAAGGAAUGAGAGUAAGAGAGAGCAGGUGACUGUGCCUCGAUGUUCGACACGUGGUGUAGUUGCGAAGAAAGGAAGAAAACGGGAGCACAAAACGAAACAGAGAGAGGACACGGAGGAAAAGUAGAAGGAUUUGAGCUGGCACCUUCUUUGGAUCUUCGGAUCGAAAUCAUUGAAAGGUCAGCUUGUCACUCUUCGAGAUGUUGGAUUUGGGCUGAGGCAGUGGAUAGCUAUUCAGAAUAAUGGGCAAGUCUGGUUGGUUAUUACGAUAUUGUUGUAUAAGUAUGUCUUGUAUGUAAUGAAAUGUUGUCGAUGAACCGAAAUGGAUAUACUGUGUCAAAGUGUUAGGAGAUCUCUCUUAUUUGGAAUUUCGAAAUGUUAAGCCUACUUUAUGAUGAUAUGAACUUGUGGUGAAUAGUUGGAGUUCUGAUUGUAUAAUUUAUUUAGCUUGUGGAUUUAUAAGUGUUGUUCAUGUUUGUCAAGUUGGCUUGGGUUGCCAUAAAUGUGAAUUAUCGAGUGAUGUGAUAUAUGAUUAUAAA
Molecule: long non-coding RNA, 6097 nt
Organism: Musa acuminata AAA Group (dessert banana)
Lineage: Eukaryota; Viridiplantae; Streptophyta; Magnoliopsida; Zingiberales; Musaceae
Exons: 3
Source: RefSeq, a predicted model, not a curated record